Molecule: long non-coding RNA, 632 nt
Organism: Leucoraja erinaceus (little skate)
Lineage: Eukaryota; Metazoa; Chordata; Chondrichthyes; Rajiformes; Rajidae
Exons: 3
Source: RefSeq, a predicted model, not a curated record
AGCAGCAUACUUAAGAAGGAAAUUAGGAAGUCAAAAAAGGGACUUGAGGUAGCUCUGGCAGAUACGUUUAAGGAGAAUCCAAAGAGAUUUUACAAGUGAAUGGGUGAUCGAAGGUCGGCGUUGACUCGGCGUGCCGAGGGGCUUGAUUUGAUGCUUUAUUUUUAAUCUCUAAGCUAAAUCUAAGUAUAUUAUGGGGAAAAGGGUAACGAGAGAGAAUAGGGCCCGUUAGGAUCCAAAGCCGUCAAAUAUGUAUGAAACCCCAACAGAUAGGCAAUGAGCAAUGUCCUCAAUUAACAUUUCUGCUACUUUUUAAUCGCAGGGAAAGCAAUGAAGGUCAAGGAAAUGGGGAAAGUUAAUGUUGAUGACUUGAGAACACUCUGUAUUCCAGCCAUGGAGGUGCUGGAUGCCCAAACAUGUAUGAAGGCACGAGGACUCUGGGAUCAUGGCUGCCUCCUCAUUACAUCAAUAGCAAUAACAAGAUUUCCAAGGAUAAAGGAACUCGUGAAGGCGCACAAACACCUGCCUAAUGUGUUGCUCCGUCAUUGUCACAUCAUCCUGGAGAAAGGGACAAGACGGUGUUGAAAUCAAGAGUUGGGAGGAAGAGGAAGCCAGCGUGUGCAUGGAGGAAAGGG